CGAUGACUUAAUUUGUGAUUUAGGGUUCUAAUUCUUUAUGGGUAUUGGAAGAUCGACCCGGGAUUUUUUUUGUUUUUUGUUGAAGGAUGUAGCUGAAUAAGACAGUUGUUUGCUGCAUAAUUUUUAGAUAUUUGUUGUUGUUGUUGGGUCUUGCCUCAUUGUGGGGUUUCGAUUGAAAAUUGAAUUGUUUAACGAUAUUUUGGUGUGAAAGUAUUGUUCUUGGCGAAAAAGGUGAUUAUUGCUGUGGAAGUAUUGUUUUUGGUGAAUUUGAAGAGGGUGAUUGAAUCACCAUGGAUCAUGUCGUGGGUGGGAAGUUUAAGCUGG
This 324-nucleotide unclassified non-coding RNA is filed under the name Hevea brasiliensis (rubber tree). The record is from RNAcentral. Lineage: Eukaryota; Viridiplantae; Streptophyta; Magnoliopsida; Malpighiales; Euphorbiaceae.